GCGAAUAUUGGAUGAAUUAUCUGUUAUAUGUGAUGGAUGUGCAUUUCGUAGUAAGAUUACAGUAGUUUUAGGUAGUUAUAUAAAUUAUAUCUAUAAUCAAAUCUAAACUCUCUGAGUCGAGCGUUUAUUCCUGUUCAAAUAUUUUUCCAAGUUGCAGGAUGAGCAAGUUCAUUUUCAAGUCUCACUUAUAUUUUUCUCUGUAAGUUGUGAUGCUUUUUAGUUAUUAGUUUUUAUUUUGCUUAUUUUUUUUGUUUAUUUAUCCAUUUAUUCAAUUAUUAGAACUCCACUAUGACACCAGUGUAUAUAUUUAUUGUCUUAGUAAUAAAAAUUAAACGAUUUAUACAUGCUGGUAUCAGGGUUGAGCUGGAUUCUCCUAAUUGUGAAUUUUGACAGUUAUUGGGUUGAACUGGCGUAAAUUGAUUUUUUUUUU
RNAcentral lists this unclassified non-coding RNA (430 nucleotides) under Hevea brasiliensis (rubber tree). The record is from RNAcentral. Lineage: Eukaryota; Viridiplantae; Streptophyta; Magnoliopsida; Malpighiales; Euphorbiaceae.